ACGGCUCAGUAACACGUGGAUAACCUACCCAAGAGUCUGGGAUAACCCCGGGAAACCGGGGAUAAUACCGGAUAGAUCAUCUUUGCUGGAAGGCUUGGUGGUUGAAACCUCCGGGGCUUUUGGAUGGGUCUGCGGCUGAUUAGGUUGUUGCCGGUGUAAUGUACCGUCAAGCCUGUAAUCAGUACGGGUUGUGGGAGCAAGAGCCCGGAGAUGGAUUCUGAGACACGAAUCCAGGCCCUACGGGGCGCAGCAGGCGCGAAAACUCUACAAUGCAGGCAACUGCGAUAGGGGAACAUCGAGUGAUCCUCAUAUUGGGGGUCUGUCCACCCGCCUAAAAAGCGGGUGUUAGCAAGGGCCGGGCAAGACCGGUGCCAGCCGCCGCGGUAAUACCGGCGGCUCGAGUGGUGGCCGAUAUUAUUGAGUCUAAAGGGUCCGUAGCCGGCUUUGCAAGUCUCUCGGGAAAUCCAGCGGCUUAACCGUUGGUCGUCCGGGGGGUACUACAUUGCUUGGGACUGGGAGAGGCGAGAGGUACUCAGGGGGUAGGAGUGAAAUCCUGUAAUCCUCUGGGGACCACCGGUGGCGAAGGCGUCUCGCCAGAACAGGUCCGACGGUGAGGGACGAAAGCUAGGGGCACGAACCGGAUUAGAUACCCGGGUAGUCCUAGCCGUAAACGAUGCUCGCUAGGUGUCACAACAGUCGUGAACUGUUGUGGUGCCGUAGGGAAGCCGUGAAGCGAGCCACUUGGGAAGUACGACCGCAAGGUUGAAACUUAAAGGAAUUGGCGGGGGAGCAC
RNAcentral lists this ribosomal RNA (793 nucleotides) under uncultured archaeon. Its description in RNAcentral is "bacterial SSU rRNA". It matches the Rfam family "Archaeal small subunit ribosomal RNA", at positions 85 to 879 of the family's 1478-position model. The record is from RNAcentral.